AUUAGAAGAGACGCAUUUAUUAGAUAAAAAGCCAGUUCAUGCUUUUAUAGUAUGAAAAUUGGUGAUUUAUAAUAACUUAGCAAAUCGCAAAGUGAAAACAGGCGAUAAAUCAUUCAAGUUUCUGACCUAUCAGCUUUCGACGGUAUGGUAUUGGCUUACCGUGGCAGUGACGGUUAACGGGGGAUUAGGGUUCGAUUCCGGAGAGGGAGCCUGAGAAACGGCUACCACAUCUAAGGAAGGCAGCAGGCGCGCAAAUUACCCAAUUCUAACAGUUUGAGAGAGGUAGUAACAAGAAAUAACAAUACAAGGCAGUUAAAAUGCUUUGUAAUUGGAAUGAUAGAAAUUUAAACCCUUUUUAAAGUAUCAAUUGGAGGGCAAGUCUGGUGCCAGCAGCCGCGGUAAUUCCAGCUCCAAUAGCGUAUAUUAAAAUUGUUGCAGUUAAAAAGCUCGUAGUUGAAGUUCUGCUGAAAGUAACCGGUCUGCUUUUAAUAAAAGUGGUAUCUUGGUAUGUAUUUAGCAAUGAUGUCCUUUGAAGUGUUUUUUACUUUAUUGUAAUAAAGCAUAUUCAGGACUUUUACUUUGAGAAAAUUAGAGUGUUUCUAGCAGGCUAACGCUUUGAAUACUGCAGCAUGGAA
This 635-nucleotide ribosomal RNA is filed under the name Hepatozoon canis. RNAcentral describes it as "bacterial SSU rRNA". It matches the Rfam family "Eukaryotic small subunit ribosomal RNA", at positions 191 to 814 of the family's 1831-position model. Lineage: Eukaryota; Apicomplexa; Hepatozoidae. The record is from RNAcentral.